AAGAUCCUCGCCGUCCAGUUUUUUUUUCUCUCCCAUGCAGGAACGCUAUCCUCUCCGCCGCCUCGAUGCUGUUCUUCUGCGGCGGAGCGCCUCACGCGGCUGCGUCCGCCGCUGCCACCACCACUCACCGCCCAUGUCUACGCCGUCUCGCCGCCCCUCACCGUCCAUGGCAGCCCCUGGCGCGCAGCAACGGCGGUGGCGGCCCCUCCUCAACUUAACACCGGCGUGCCCGUCUGCUCCUUCACCAAGGUUCCCGGACCUGCCGUCUACUCCUUCACCAAGGUUCCCGGACCUGGCAUGCGGUGCUGCUGCCGGCAAGCACCUCCCUUUGGAAUUGAAAACGGAUGCAUCGAUCUACUGCGUGUCGGGAUCGAGGUGCACAUUGACUCGGAAAUCGGAAUAGAGUAGGACCAUCUCCGACGUGUUUCCGCAGUGAAGCUCCUCGCCGUUCAGGAAAAUCCUCGUCAUCCACGAACUGCUGCUGGAGCUUUGCAACCCUUGUUGGCACAGGUGCCAUCACGAGCAUCUCGGAGAUCUCCAUCGUGCCCUGCAACCAGCACACAAGGUUAGUAGAUUCGUUUUGCCGUGCAACACAAGUUCAUAUAUUUGUAGUUUUCCUUUUGAAACUCAUCAGUUGUGAUUAUUAUGAUUUGACACAAUUUAGAUUGCUAUAUUUUUGUAGAAAAAAAUGAAUUCUUCUAACAUUGAAUCAGACAAUGUCGACGAUUCAAAUGUUUAGUCCGUCUAGUGUCAUUGACAGGUGAAUCUUAGUCCAUCUCGUAUGCGAGUCGGACCAGCCCUACGUCCACAACUCGAUCACAUAGACCCCUAUAAAUUAACACAUAUGCAACUAUACGUAUCUGAUACUUAAAACUUUGUUCAUGGCAACAUAUUGGUAUAUUUAUCUAUCUCUAUCUCUUCUCUACUGCUACGCACUAAAGCUAGCAAUGCUUUCUUGGUCUGUCAAUCAGAAUUCUAAUCAUAACCUGGACAAAUCAAUCGAAAUCCGAAAAAUCAAUUAGAAUUCCAUUCGGAACCUGAAUAAUCAGUGCCUCACGCGGUCACUGCACGGCUUGUAUAUGGAAUGAGAUAGCACAAAGUUAGUAGUCUCAUGUAGAUCCAGUAAAGUUUAUAUUACCCGUAGCAACGCACGGGUACUGUGCUAGUUAUGUGUAAAAGUUAUAAGUAUCGUAAAAAGAUGUGUUGAAAAAUUAUUAUAUAAUAGUUAUGUUAAAAAAUAUUAUCUGAUAGUUGUCGGAAAGAAGUUAUACAUACAUACGUUUAAGUAACUUUCUAAAUGUAGAAAAUCGUGGAGAAAGAAACUUUCCUGAAAAGAUAAAUCACAUGCUGUCCGAUCGAGGGCCGGUAACCCUCCUGGCGUGCGCUCUUGGAUUGCAGAGCCCGGCAAUUAUUAUUAGGACACAAGUCAUUACCUAUUAUUAUAGUGUUGAUUACUCAAGGCAAUGAAGAUGAUGAGAACAUGGAUAAUUCUGUGCAAAUGCGAGGUCAUUGGAGAGCCCGGUGGUGGAGCUGGAAGAACAAGCAAAACAACCUACGAGGAUUGCCUAGGACGGGCUUCAGUGGCUGUUGAUGAUGCAAGACUGCCUGACUCAGUAGUGUCGGGAGCAGGACAUUUAUCAGUUUCUAGCGUGGGAAGGGGAUCUGAUUCCUCAUACAUUUCGUCUAGUAUCUGUUUAGUUAACUUAGAACCUUUUGCUUCAAGUUUCAAAAAAAAAAGAACAUUUUGCUUCAAGCAAACGCGAUUCAAAUACUCCCCUCAAUUUAUUUUAUCAUAUUAAUUUUAUUUGACUGAUGUUCCAUAGCAAUAUUUUAUGUUUGUUUGUAAAGGGAAAAUUUGCACCAAA
Molecule: long non-coding RNA, 1865 nt
Organism: Panicum virgatum (switchgrass)
Lineage: Eukaryota; Viridiplantae; Streptophyta; Magnoliopsida; Poales; Poaceae
Exons: 2
Source: RefSeq, a predicted model, not a curated record